UUCUUGUAGUGUCCGCCUCUUUUCUCUGACUCGAGGCUUUCUUUUUGGCUUCUCUUCCGAUUGCUCCUUACACGUCACGAACCGAAGCACGAGACGAAACCCGGCGUCGUGAGAUCCGGGAGCGGGAGGCUCAGAUGGCGACGGAGGAUGACUCCCAGAGCAUGGUGUCGACCUACGGGAAGCUGGAAGGGGUGGCGAUGUGGGUAGGAGCGAGCGUGGUAUCCGCCUUCUUCGCCUCCCUUGAGCGCUGCUCCUGCAUCAACCUCAGCACCACCGAGGACGACGGCGACGACCUCGAGGAGGCCAACGACCGCCCGCUCAUGCUCACAAAGCCCGUCCUCCACGACGAGGAGAAUCCCAAACCUUCCUCCCUCUGAUCCAGUCGACUCCCUCGUCAUCACCGUGGAACCCUAAAUCCUUGAAAUCGUUCGGUUCGUGGCAUCGUCGAUCUCGAUAUGUUUCUUGUUUCUCUCUCGUGUCGUGGUAUUUCCUCUUUUUAACUCUUCAUGUGUUGAUCCAUGCGUUUCUUUCCUACCUGUGUAGAUCUGAGUUUGCCUUAGAAACCUGAUCUUUGGAAGUGACAAUCGUGAAAAUAUUGUGUUUCCUUGUCGUGAUACGGUGCCUCUAUGCUGUAUUGCUCAUCUUGUCAUGGCCAGGUUUUGUUU
Molecule: non-coding RNA, 665 nt
Organism: Musa acuminata subsp. malaccensis (wild Malaysian banana)
Lineage: Eukaryota; Viridiplantae; Streptophyta; Magnoliopsida; Zingiberales; Musaceae
Source: RefSeq, a predicted model, not a curated record